Long non-coding RNA from Hyaena hyaena (striped hyena), 843 nucleotides. RefSeq lists it as uncharacterized. The record is from RefSeq and is a predicted model, not a curated record. The transcript has 3 exons. Lineage: Eukaryota; Metazoa; Chordata; Mammalia; Carnivora; Hyaenidae.
ACGCUUAACCGACUAAGCCACCCAGGCGCCCCAAGAUCUCCGGUUAUCUGCCACAGAAAAAGCCCAAUAUGUUGAGACCACAGUGCUGUGAGGAAACCGAGCUAGCAGUGGGGAGAGGCCGCUUGUAGAGAAUGAUGUUCAGUCAGGUCCCAGCUCUUCAGCCUUCCCAGCCAAGACGUCAAAUGUGACUAAAGAAGCCACCUCCUCUUGGGCAUUCUUAUCCCAGUGGACACUAUACGGAGCAGAAAAACUACCCAGAGGAAACCAGUGCAGAUUGCAAAAUGAGAAUAAGUGGUUAUGAGAGUUCAAAUCAGAUGUACCAAAGGAGUCCACUGAUCAAGAGCAGAAUUGCAGCUGAACCACUGUCAUGGCAGACCUUGGCUGGGGCAAUGGACACCUCUUCCUGGUUGAAGACUGACCUCUAGAACUGCUAUAGAGCAGAGGUGGCCUGUAGGCCAGCUGGUGCAGACAUUACACCUUUUUUAAAAUUCUGCCCAUAUACACAGGAUAUCCAGAACAAUGUUUUAUUAUUAAAUUAGUUAUUAAAACUGAAAUAUCCAAAGUUUUCAAAUAGAAAACUUUCCAACAUUUAGACAUUUUUUGAGUAUUUCAGUCAUACUUAUCUAUGGCACUAGUAGAUGAAAGUAAGUAGUAACUACUUGCAUUAGUUAGAGUGUAUGCAGUACACACCAGUUUAUAACAGUUUCCACUGCUCACUAUGGUGAUCUCUCAACACUUGAGGCCAGGGGCAGUUGCCAUAUAUCAUCCUACAGAGGUCCUGCUGCACAAAUUCACAUUACCUCCCAAUCCUAGAGGCAUUGGACAUUGCGAUCUCCUGUUGAG